UGCUUCACACCGAAACCCUAGCCUCCGUGUUCCUUUGGCUUGAAGCUUCUACAUCUCAUUUUCUAUGAAAACAUACGCUUGUGCUUGAAUCGACUGAUAAAGGAAACACGCUUUGCCCUUUCCAAUUCCUGCUCUCAAACCCUACUGUCCGAAUACACAUCUUCCCCUUCACGUUUCCUGCCGAUCAAUCGAUUUAUCAAUCCUAUAAUAUACUAAUCUCAUCAAUGUUGAAAGCCAUCAUCAAUUUGGUGUAGAUGGGUAUUCAAGAAAAUAAAGGCAUAAGUGGGAGUUUGGGUUCGUUUCUUACUCGCAGAUGCUUUGGUUGUCUUAUGAGGGGCUACUUAGAAGGUUUUGGUGUGUGCUGCCUCCUUUAGAAGAAGAGGAUGUUCCUCAACUAUACCCAAAAGGGCCAAAUCUUGGUGAGUGAGCUUGAGAAACAGUUGAAAAUGGAGAUAAAAUCAAGAAACAGAGCCAGAGCCGAAAAGAUCUGGUAAAAGACAUAAUUUCUCUUUAGAUGAUGGUAAUUUAGGGUCUUUUGAUGAGGAUAUUUUUGGGUAGUCUAAUGAGAAUAAGAGUCAGAAAGAAAGAUGGAGCUGAAGAUCUUUUAAAAAAGAAGAUGACAAUGGCUAGAUUUUAUGUAUUUUGGUUCCAGCGGAAUGAAAUGGUCAAGACCGGGUUCUCCGGGUUCGGAGGAACCCGACUUUGUAGUGGGGCUACUUCAACUUAAAAGAUGAAACAAGGGUUACUAAAUAAAGUUCAAUAAGCAAUCCCAAACACCCCUCUAAAAGUAACUUAUUUAGUUAAUGCUUAAAAGUCAAAUGUGGUCAUGAUUUGUUCUUUUGAUGUUUUUCUUUUCUUAUAUGCUCAGGCAUGAUUUUACUUUCAACAACUUAUAUCAUGAGUUAGUUACUGUCAUUCAAUGUUAUACAAUCUUUUCGUUCAGUUUACCAUUCUACCAUUUCUUUGUUCAUAACAAUAUCGCCUCUAGCUCUAUUCUUCACCGAUUAUUGUGUUGCAGGACAUUUGUCACGGAUAUCUUAAGCUUGAAAAUACACUGUUGGAAGUGCAGCUCCUCGUGUUAAAAAUACUUAAAAUAUGUGAUUUUGGGUAUUCAAAGUUUGAUCACAAAUGUUGCAGCCGCUCCUCUCACCGAUCGACCUGAUCACAAGUGCAGGAUUCCGGCGACAUUCGAUUAGGAUUCCGGUUAGGUCAAUUUGAAUUCAGCGAGUGGUUGCAAUUGAUAAGAUUUGAUUAGCAUGGAACAUCGAAAGGAUGAGGUUGUUGAGAGGAUCAACUUUAGAUCAUAAAAUGAUGCACUCAUAGCUGCGACUUCAAGAUGGAAAGGUUGAACAUGAUCAUACAAGAGAUGGUGAAAGAAAAAGAAGAGAAAGAAAGGUUGAACGGAAGGAUGACAAAUGUUGAACGAUGCUAAAAAUUAGGUAUCAAAACGUCUAAUCAUCGAGUUGGUUAUAAGCACUUUAUUUUGGAUAUGUAUUUUGUUCGGAGAACUCAUGUAUUUAAUUUGAUGUUUUAAGUGGAAUGCUUUAUAUAAUUUUGAAAAUUCUAGAAAUGCU
This 1574-nucleotide long non-coding RNA is filed under the name Helianthus annuus (common sunflower). RNAcentral's name for it is "hypothetical non coding rna". The record is from RNAcentral. Lineage: Eukaryota; Viridiplantae; Streptophyta; Magnoliopsida; Asterales; Asteraceae.